CAGAUAAAGGGCUGAAGAUCAAUAGCUGAAGGUAGUGGCUUCCCUAAAGUCACAAGCUACAUUCAUGGCAGAGUCCCUCCCUUUGUCCAUUGCACCAAAACAGCUAUUUCUGCCCUUGCUUUUCCUGGAUGAACAGUAGGUGCCUCAGUCUUCCAGUCAGGGAAGCACCCGCUACGACAGAUACAGUGUUUGUCUCUUCAGAUGAAUGUCAGUGUAUCCAUGAGCAGCAUGGCGGAAAUGUUGUUCACAGAAAGCCACAGUAGCAACAAAAGCCUGCAUAUCUUGGCUCAGUAUCUUGCUGACUGAUUCCCGCAGACUUGAGGAAGGAAGCUUCUUCAGAUUCUUCUUUUUUAACCUUGGAUAGUAACUCUAGUCCAUGGACGGUAACCAUAGUCUGUUUGAUACCAAACAGACAGCUUAUUCAUCGCUUUCUUUUCUGAAUGCUGACUCAAGGAGGGACCAAAAAACACAAGCAACAAGAUUUUUACAUUCUCUAAUUUAAAGAAUUGGCUGUUUGCAGCAGAAUGUCAGUCGUGUUUUCUGUCCGAGUUGUCAAAAUCCAGCUCACGUUCGGCGAAAUAUUGGGCAGCUAAGAUUCCUGUCUCUGUUUUAAUGAAGCCAGCUCCAUCCUGCUUCCACCUUCUUGAAGUAUUUUUUUUAACCUUUAGGUUGUUUUCAAAUUAAAAUCUAUUUUUAAAGCCUUA
Hemicordylus capensis (graceful crag lizard) is the source of this 704-nucleotide long non-coding RNA. RefSeq lists it as uncharacterized. The record is from RefSeq and is a predicted model, not a curated record. The transcript has 3 exons. Lineage: Eukaryota; Metazoa; Chordata; Lepidosauria; Squamata; Cordylidae.